ACCAGGCCGAGAAGAAACCCUUGGGGUUGGGGGCAGUUAUUAGUGAGGGCAAUUCAUUCAAUCCAGAGCCAGAAACAGGAUUUUAUUUAAAAUUUAUUGUAAUGGGGUCCGCGCAAAAGGAAGGGGUGGAGGGUGGGGUACAUGCAGGGGACACAGGAACACGAUGACAUGGCCAGGGCCACAACUUCUUCUGUCGUGGGGAAGAGGGAUGAAAAGACAAGACCAGGGCUGGAGCUGGGGUGGAAGAGGGGAGGGGGACACUGGCUGCAUUCCCCCGCCCCCAGGAAGCACCUCUAGGCCCUGGACCCCUCGCUCACCCUGGCCCCUAAGACUCCAUCUCUUCUCUGCCUCUGGCCCUCCUGGCUCUUCCUCCUGCUCCCCUUGACUUUUUCCCCUGACAGAUUCUCAAGUAGGACGAUGUUCAGGGCCUGACCCCAAACCCCCAUACCACCUUAUGAAGGUAAAACCUUUGCUGGCCCUGCUUCUGCCUCUCCUCAAACCUCACCGCUUUCCCUCUUUGGGACAGCUCUGAUCCCCCUCCUUCCUCUCCUCCCUCCCCCUGGAAAAAAAAAAAAAAGGAAAAGAAAGCACCAACUCCCCGGGGAGGGGCUGCAGACAGCAGGGGGAGAGGACUGGAAGGAGAGAAGAGGACCGUCGAGGGAAGAGGCUCACAAAUCCCUGGGAAGACAGGGCAUGGGCUUACAGAGAGGAGAGGGGGUACGGGCAGUGGCUGCUCGUGUCCUCUGCCACCCCUGCCCACUGUCCAGGGGACUUCAACACAACCGAGGGGACAGGUUUGUUUGGGGUCAGGUCUGAUAGAAGAGAGGAGCAGGAGAAACAAAUCGUUAAAACCUAGCGAAUUCCCCUAAGAAAACAUUUCUUCCUUCUUUCCUUCUGGAGGCUCCUUGGUUGGUGGGGAAAUAGGAGUUGGUGGGAAAAGAGGGGGGAGAGGAGCUUGUACCAAGGGACUCUACUCCAUUCUCCCCUCUCCCCCGCAACCAACUUGGAGCUCACCAGGGUUGGGAGGGAAGUGGCUGAGAGCUCACAGGCACCCCCUCCGCCCCCGAGAGGGAGCCCACAGCUGUGGGAGGGGCUGCUACUGCUGCUGCCGCCGCCGCUGCCGCCGCCGCCGCCGCCAUUGGACAAACCUCACCAGUACCUGCACAGGAGAAACACCACGGAUCACAGCGCGAUCUGAAUGAGGCCUCAGCCUGCAUCCUCACCCAGACAGAGCAGUUCUCAAGAAUCCUCCCUGUGCCCAGAAGUCUCCCUAGCCUGAGUGGUACAUGGGCAUCCCUCGCCUUCCUGAGAUCCCCUAUUGGGCCCUUUGAGCCCCGUUGUCCCCCACACCCCCCAUCCCGCCCCC
Molecule: long non-coding RNA, 1366 nt
Filed under: Pan troglodytes (chimpanzee)
Lineage: Eukaryota; Metazoa; Chordata; Mammalia; Primates; Hominidae
Description: long non-coding RNA NONPTRT006280
Source: RNAcentral